AACGAACGCUGGCGGCGCGCCUAAUACAUGCAAGUCGAGCGAGAAGACGUAGCAAGUACGUUUGUAAAGCGGCGAACGGGUGAGGAAUACAUGGGUAACCUACCCUCGAGUGGGGAAUAACUAGCCGAAAGGUUAGCUAAUACCGCGUACGCUCCUUGGACUUCGGUUCAGGGAGGAAAGCGAUACCGUGGGUACCGCGCUCUUGGAUGGGCUCAUGUCCUAUCAGCUUGUUGGUGAGGAACGGCU
RNAcentral lists this ribosomal RNA (246 nucleotides) under uncultured bacterium. Its description in RNAcentral is "partial 16S ribosomal RNA". It matches the Rfam family "Bacterial small subunit ribosomal RNA", at positions 29 to 265 of the family's 1533-position model. The record is from RNAcentral.